CAGCUCAUCGUUCCAUCGAAUGCGAUAUUCGCCGUAACCAACGCGCAAAGGACCAUAAAUCUUUCGCAGAACUUUUCUCUCGGAAACUCGCAACGUUGACUCAUCAGUUGUUGUCAUCGUCCAGGCCUCUGCACCAUAUAGCAGGACGGGUAUUAUGAGUGACUUAUAGAGUUUGGUUUUUGUUCGUCGAGAGAGGACUUUGCUUCUCAAUUGCCUACUCAGUCUGGAGUAGCAUCUGUUGGCAAGAGUUAUCCUGCGUUGGAUUUCCAGGCUGACGUUGUUGGUGUUAAUACUGGUUCCUGAAUAGACGAAAUUAUCUACAACUUCUAAGUUAUGUUUGUCAACAGUGACGUGAGAGCCAAGUCGCUAGUGCGACGACUGUUUGUUUGAUGACAGGAGAUCACUUAUUCUAUCGAAUGUAAAUGCAAAAUCGAUGGCGAUUUUCCAAAAAAUUCCUCCGUUAGAACCUUAUGCGAGUAUAAACGAAUAAUUGUCAAAAUUUUCUGGUCCUUCCUUGCUGUGGCUCAUUUUUAUGUAUAAGAUAUCUCGUACAUUCAUUUGUACAUGCAGGUAUGUACAGUAUAAUUCCCUAAUACGGAUAGUCCCCAUGACCGAACAGCUCCCAUAACCGAACAAAUUUCAUGAACACAACGUAUACAUAUAUUGGCCAUGACUGCAUUCUAAUGACCGGACACGAAAUAAGUGACAUUUCGUGCAAAUUAUCUCUGAUAAACGGACAAGAUUUCGCAAAUUGUGUAAAGAAAAUUGUUUACAAUUUGUAGUUUCUGUUUGUUUAUUUAUUCUUAACUGUUGUUAACAAUUCAAGUAUAAAAAUACAUUGUAAACACACGUUUUUGUCAACACACGCCCUCAUAUGUGAACAACAACCAAGCAACAGGCGGGUGUCCAUUUAUAAGGAAUUCCAGUGUAUAUGUACAACUUUGCCUGCAAUUAAUUCCCAUAAUACAUUAGGCGAAUAAAAUACGUUAUUAUGGAAAACAAAUAUAAACCGCAUUUAUUUAUAUGUUUAUCAAAAACUUUUACUUUUGCGAAUUUCAAUAUCGAUGAGAUUAUAUUUUCGCCUAUCGCUAGGUUAUGGAAUAAUUAUGAAAAUGAAGAAUUCGCCAAGUGGUAAUUGCGCCAAAAACAGCAAGCAGUUAAAACGCGAGAUCUAUGCAAAAAACUGCUGAAAGGUUCACCAAUACACUUAAAAGGAACACCGACGAAUUAUAAUACUUACUAUAGUAUACAUACAUAUCGAUGAAAGAAAUGAAGUCCUUAGUACGGUCACCACAAACGGUCCAAUGAUCGUUAAAAUAAUGGUCAAUUUAGAUGUGAAACACAAAUACUUACAAACACUUUUGUUAAAACAAAUUUACUAAGCGUCAGCGGCAGCAUACACUUCCACAGUAGUUUCGGCUAGUUGUGCAAUAUAAAAAUUGCUGUUAUUCCUUGCGAUAGACGGAAACCAAACGCGUUUCAUGCUUCCAUACAACAUCUUUUUUUUGCUUUAUUUUGAAAAGGAUUUUAUUUGGAAGGGAGAAGUCUUCGUGUAUUAUAUGCUUGUAUUUCAACUACAAGGAAGCCCUUCACAAGGCAGCUAACAAGCGAACUCAGUUAGAUUGCCAUAUGACGGACCGGCUUGUAAUUUACUUGCAGUUUUCUAAGCACCUUGAACACUUCCUCUCAACUCCGACUUAAAAACACGAAUGAGUAUAAGUUGGUCCUUAUAUGUUUUUGUUGUUCAAAAGGUCUAUGUACAGAGUAGGCGGCGAUUUAUCAGCAAAACCACGCCUGCGCACUUUGCCGAAGUCUAACUGUGUGCGCAUUGGCUUAUCGGUUAAGUGCUAACCACAAGCGCAGAUGCUACGAAUUCCCUCUGCGAAUGCCCACUUACAUGUGUAUGUAUGCGUGAGUAUAACUGUGCAUACCACGAAGUAAGGAUGAUAAAAUGGAGCUAAAUGCUUUAAAUCAAACUUAUAGAAAUAAUUCCAAAUGCUUGUUUCCACACAUAAUAUGGUAUGUGUGUAUUUAUGUAUGUAAUUAUAAAAACAAUAAAGAAUACAUGUAUACUGAUAUCUUAAGCCACAUGCAUUCACAUUCCACACAUGUCUAUGUAUGGAUGUGUGCAUGCCCGCCAAAAAACCCAGUAACGCAUACAAUCUGGAGCUUAUCGCCAGUGGCCAACACAGAAUUUAAUAAAAUUAUAUCUAAAUAUACGCGCAUGCUUGUAUAGACACAUAUGUAUGCACAUAUGCAUAUCUACUGUAUAUAAUGUGGACGUUUAUGCGAGUAAUCUUGCAUUUAAAAUUGUUAAUUAUAAUAUUCUUUUACAAUCCAAGUUAAUAAAUUUUGAAAAGUUAAAAUAUAUAUUUCUAGAGCAUCGAUUCAGUUUUUUAUACUAUUGCAACAUCUUGCUAAAACUAAUUGAGGUAAGUAUAGAGUUACAUAUACAGUAAACUUCCCCAAUAUGGAUAGUCCUCAUAACCGCACAGCUCCCAUAACUGGACAAAUUUCAUGAACAC
Bactrocera dorsalis (oriental fruit fly) is the source of this 2525-nucleotide long non-coding RNA. RefSeq lists it as uncharacterized. The transcript has 3 exons. NCBI's taxonomy places the organism in Eukaryota, Metazoa, Arthropoda, Insecta, Diptera, Tephritidae. The record is from RefSeq and is a predicted model, not a curated record.